GGGACGCCCCACCAGCAGUGGUCCCCUCUUCCUGUCUCUCCUCUCAGCAACCACUUCAACAUUGACUUCCCCUCCACAAGGACCGGGACCUUGCCGUGGUGUGGAGGUUUCAUACAAACACCGGUCCACCCACCCUGCAACAACUCUUCUACAGGACAGUGACACUACGUUUCUUUAAAAAAAAAAAAAAAAAAAACAUUCUAUGUCUGCUGUGAUGUGAUGUAUGUGGUUUAAAAAAAAAAAAAAACAUCCACACCACUGUGUUCUGCAUUCUGCAUCUCUACACUGAACACUUAUGCCGUGUGUCUGCUCUGAUGUUUUUAUUUUUUAUUAUUGUUUUGUAGUUUAAAAUAAACAAUCUAUAUGUAUAAUAUAUAGAAUAUAUAACA
Molecule: long non-coding RNA, 389 nt
Organism: Alosa alosa (allis shad)
Lineage: Eukaryota; Metazoa; Chordata; Actinopteri; Clupeiformes; Clupeidae
Exons: 2
Source: RefSeq, a predicted model, not a curated record